AGGACGAACGCUGGCGGCGUGCCUAACACAUGCAAGUGGAGCGACGAACCAGGCUUCGGCCUGGGGCAAAGCCGCGAACGGGUGAGUAACACGUGGGUAACCUGCCCCGAUGAUUGGGACAACCCGAGGAAACUCGGGCUAAUACCGAAUGUGCCCUACGGCCAUAAGGCCGCUGGGGAAAGGAAGCUUCGGCCUCCGCAUCGGGAUGGGCCCGCGGCCCAUUAGCUUGUUGGUGAGGUAACGGCUCACCAAGGCGACGAUGGGUAGCUGGUCUGAGAGGACGAUCAGCCACACUGGGACUGAGACACGGCCCAGACUCCUACGGGAGGCAGCAGUGGGGAAUAUUGGACAAUGGGCGAAAGCCUGAUCCAGCAAUGCCGCGUGAGUGAUGAAGGCCUUAGGGUUGUAAAGCUCUUUUACCAGGGAUGAUAAUGACAGUACCUGGAGAAUAAGCUCCGGCUAACUCCGCGCCAGCAGCCGCGGU
RNAcentral lists this ribosomal RNA (484 nucleotides) under uncultured bacterium. RNAcentral describes it as "SSU rRNA". It matches the Rfam family "Bacterial small subunit ribosomal RNA", at positions 26 to 521 of the family's 1533-position model. The record is from RNAcentral.